UGCUCCCACUUCUCUCCCCAGCACCUCCCUGGCAGGAGACAUCCCAAGUCCUCUGCCAUGGUCACGUCGCCACCGGGGUCACUGGGACGUGGCUCAUCCUGCACCAGCAGAGCCACGGGCACCUUCGGCAGCUCCUCUUGGGAGCUUUCACACCACGGCCGCCUGCGUCGCUGCGUCGGCAGCGAUGGGAGAGGCUCCGCGGCGCAGACGUGGAGGCGGCAGCGAAGCUCUCCUACGCACGACGCACUCCCCUUGAAAUAGAUGCACCCACCCCCUCGUCACCCAGCCCAGCGCAGCAGCAGGCGCCCGUCAGCACAGUGCAGCUCAGCUCAGCAUGGCAUGGCAUGGUACAGUAUGGCGCUGCAUGGCACGGGGACCACAGAAGGGCACGUAAGACUUAACGAAGAGGCUCUAAUUAAGAAGCAGCACCACGCGACCCCGAGGCAUGCUGUCUGCAGAGGUGGCCACGAGAUUGGCUGGCCCCGAUGCUCCCCGUAGGCUGCUCCUGGAGGUUUCUGCGAAGACACCCGCUGGCCCCACCACGAGCGCCUCUGGAGUGGCUGGGGCAGGGAUCCCACCCCAGGCGAGGCGCAGGCUGCGGUGUGUGGGGUCCAGCUGGGUGCCCUGAGCACUGCAGGAUGCUCUGAGGGCUGGGGGGGCAGCUGGGGAUGUGGGGGGGGAGGAAAUUGUGGCUGCUUUUGUCUGGCAUCCUUCUCGAUGCAUCCACCUGCCCGCGUGCAAGGAGCCAAGGGCUUAGGAGAGGAGGUGUGGAGCUGGCACCGCUGCAGGAGGUCACAUCCAUCCCCUUCGUCCUCGCUGCUGGGGCUCUUCUCCAGCAUCCCCUGGGCACGCGUGCCACUGGAUGUCCCUGCACUGCCCAGACAAGGUGUAGGUGAGGUUUGGGUGGAAGGUGAGCCCAGCUUCACAGCUCUCCCACCUUCAGGGUGACCUUGACGGCAGCCCUGGACCCGCUCCUCCGCCACUGCUCCUCCUCCACCUCCCCUCCGCGGGCUUCUCUGCUCCAUCCUCACGUGGUCCCCAGGCGCUGGUAUAGUUGCGGUGAAGAACCCGAGCACUAAUAACUCCCAUUAGCACCUUUGGCUGAUGGACGUCAGCGCCAAGGGCCAGAUUCAGUUUCGGCUGCAAGCCCGACUGCUCAUUUCCAGUUGCAAAGAUCAACCAGGAGCUUCGGGGAUUAGAGCGGUGGGUGGAGGGGGAAACGAGAAAUGAAAGAGGAAGAUAAACAUAAAAGUCACACAAAACAAAUAGCUGGCAGUAACU
This is a long non-coding RNA of Cygnus olor (mute swan), 1281 nucleotides long. RefSeq lists it as uncharacterized. The record is from RefSeq and is a predicted model, not a curated record. Lineage: Eukaryota; Metazoa; Chordata; Aves; Anseriformes; Anatidae. The transcript has 4 exons.